UACCGCAUAACAACAGAAAGCGCAUGCUUUUUGUUUGAAAACCAAGGUGGUAUGGGAUGGACCCGCGUCUGAUUAGCUGGUUGGCGGGGUAAAGGCCCACCAAGGCGACGAUCAGUAGCCGGCCUGAGAGGGUGGACGGCCACAUUGGGACUGAGACACGGCCCAAACUCCUACGGGAGGCAGCAGUGGGGAAUAUUGCACAAUGGGGGAAACCCUGAUGCAGCGACGCCGCGUGAGUGAAGAAGUAAUUCGUUAUGUAAAGCUCUAUCAGCAGGGAAGAAAAUGACGGUACCUGAGUAAGAAGCCCCGGCUAACUACGUGCCAGCAGCCGCGGUAAUACGUAGGGGGCAAGCGUUAUCCGGAUUUACUGGGUGUAAAGGGAGCGUAGACGGCAGUGCAAGUCUGGAGUGAAAGGCGGGGGCUCAACCCCCGGACUGCUCUGGAAACUGUACGGCUGGAGUGCAGGAGAGGUAAGUGGAAUUCCUAGUGUAGCGGUGAAAUGCGUAGAUAUUAGGAGGAACACCAGUGGCGAAGGCGGCUUACUGGACUGUAACUGACGUUGAGGCUCGAAAGCGUGGGGAGCAAACAGGAUUAGAUACCCUGGUAGUCCACGCCGUAAACGAU
This 624-nucleotide ribosomal RNA is filed under the name uncultured bacterium. RNAcentral's name for it is "bacterial SSU rRNA". It matches the Rfam family "Bacterial small subunit ribosomal RNA", at positions 167 to 810 of the family's 1533-position model. The record is from RNAcentral.